AGUACUUGUUUUUCCCAACUUCUACCAGAAUUUGUCAACUUAUUACAUUCGCAAUCAGUAAUUGAUGUGCUGGAAUAUAUACUAAGCGCAAUCAGAUGUGUUUAAGGAGGAGUAUUAUUUAAGACUUCAAUUUGACAAGACUUUUAAAUCUUUUUCCUACUAAACACAAUGAGACGUGGUUGAAUAUGUAUAAUAAACGCAAUGCAGACUAUAAUAUACUCAAAUUUUCCUACCAUCAAAUUCGGACAUGUCCAAUAUUUUCAUUAUUUGGAAAAAGAAAUUCGUAAACCAUGAACAAUGAAUACACACAGGGUAGCCUAAUGCUACGAUAUAUUCCAUCCAUCUUUAAAAAAAUAUCCUACAGUAUUUGAAAAUAAAACUUGACUUUUCUAAUAAAUGUCUUAUUUCACAAUUAUGUAGAACAAUGAUGUCGAGCUUUUAAUUUUACCCUUACCCUUGAUGCAAAUUCUUUAUGCAAUCAUUCAAGGUAAAAGGAGUAAAAUUUCUCAUUUUCUUGGUUUUUACAGCAUGCAACAUUUAUUUGACAAGUGAGAUACAAUAGCACAACAGAUGAAGAUGAACUGAUAAAUCUUGGAAACAACCUGACGAAAAAAGAUACCGUGAACAUGAUGAUUCAUUCACAAAGUUCAAAACACCAGAAAAUUUGAUCAACUCAAAAGUUCCAAUCAGUUCAAAGUUGUCAUGUCCUAACCCAGGAAAAGCUUCAAGAUUCCUAACGUGCAGUACCACAAUAGAUACAAAAGGAAAAAGGAUGAUACAAAAACAUAUAACCUUCACCUGCUAUUAAUUAGAACCGGCAGGGCCAACGAGGACGCCCUGUGCAUUCCCUUCCUUCUUACUUUCAUCCUUCAUUUCACCAUCGCCCUUUCGGAUUCUGAUUUUGUACUUGGCCUCGAAUUCGGCUAGAUCCUUUUUCUUCUUCUCGGAUGCUUCGUUGAGCCGAGCAAUUACCUCUUCAAUACCCUCCUUAUUUCUCUGCACAGCUGGCAGAACUUCUCUGAUUGUUCUCUCAACAAGAACACCUCCAAUCAUCCGGUAGCAUCGCCUUGAUGGAUCAAGUGGUUUUAUGGCGUUGAUCACGAGGGAGUGCUCGCUGACCUCCAUUUCCAGCUCGGUGAUCUUGGAAUAGAUUUGGUUGAUUUCAUUCCUCAUUGAAGCAUAUAUAUUUGCAAUGGCUUGCUCAUUCAUCGGUUCUUUGAUAUCACCUUCAGCCCUGGCCAUCCUAUUGAUC
Molecule: long non-coding RNA, 1252 nt
Organism: Salvia miltiorrhiza (redroot sage)
Lineage: Eukaryota; Viridiplantae; Streptophyta; Magnoliopsida; Lamiales; Lamiaceae
Exons: 2
Source: RefSeq, a predicted model, not a curated record